Long non-coding RNA from Dioscorea cayenensis subsp. rotundata (Guinea yam), 540 nucleotides. RefSeq lists it as uncharacterized. The record is from RefSeq and is a predicted model, not a curated record. NCBI's taxonomy places the organism in Eukaryota, Viridiplantae, Streptophyta, Magnoliopsida, Dioscoreales, Dioscoreaceae. The transcript is spliced from 3 exons.
CCCGCCGAUAUGAGAGAACGGAAGGCGGGAGCUGAGAUCUUGCAUUCAUGGCGGCCACCUCCGAGAAAACCCUAGCUUCUUUUCCCCUUCCCCCAAUCCCCAAGCCACCAAAGUGAUGCCUUUCAUUCCUAAUCUCAAUCAAGAGGAUUUCAGAUGCAUGCAAGUGGCAGAGGAAACAGAGGGAGAUGACAAGGAAUCUGAUUUGUUUAGAAAGGAUUAAUAAAUGGCGCUCAGAGCACAAGAACAAGCAAUUGCAUCUUGAGAUAAUUCUAAGGCGAAAAUUUGUGGAGACCGAGACUACUAUUAGGCGCAGUCUCGAGUUCAUGGAGGCGAGGGGUCAGAGAGAGAGGGUUGGCACGAAUGUCGAGGAGGCACCUGAUCGCAUCACGGGCUAGGCUUUUUUCCAUUUGGUGGGGCCGGAGGAUACCCGCUCAUCCUCUGUUGGUGUGUUUUUAUUUUCCCUCUUAUCACUUCUUGUGGUACGAGUGGGGUUUUGUAUCAAGGUUAGUCUUGUAUUUUUGUUUUUAUUAAUCGAACUGG